Molecule: ribosomal RNA, 1001 nt
Filed under: Okeanomyces cucullatus
Lineage: Eukaryota; Fungi; Ascomycota; Sordariomycetes; Microascales; Halosphaeriaceae
Description: eukaryotic LSU rRNA
Rfam family: Eukaryotic large subunit ribosomal RNA
Source: RNAcentral
ACUGGGAUUGCCCUAGUAACGGCGAGUGAAGCGGCAACAGCUCAAAUUUGAAAUCUGGCGCCUGCGCCCGAGUUGUAAUUUGCAGAGGAUGCUUCCUGCGCGGUGCCUUCCGAGUUCCCUGGAACGGGACGCCAAAGAGGGUGAGAGCCCCGUACGGUCGGCAACCAAGCUAUUGUGUGGCACCUUCGACGAGUCGAGUAGUUUGGGAAUGCUGCUCUAAAUGGGAGGUAAACUCCUUCUAAAGCUAAAUAUUGGCCAGAGACCGAUAGCGCACAAGUAGAGUGAUCGAAAGAUGAAAAGCACUUUGAAAAGAGAGUCAAACAGCACGUGAAAUUGUUGAAAGGGAAGCGCUUGUGACCAGACUUGGGCCUGGUAGUUCAGCCGUCCUUCUGGGCGGUGCACUCUGCCGGUUCAGGCCAGCAUCAGUUGUCGGUUGGGGAGAAAGACGACGGGAAUGUGGCUCUUCGGAGUGUUAUAGCCCGGCGUUAUGCCCUCCCGGCGACUGAGGACUGCGCAUCUGCACGGAUGCUGGCGUAAUGGUCAUCAGCGACCCGUCUUGAAACACGGACCAAGGAGUCAUCCUGGCAUGCGAGUGUUUGGGUGUUAAACCCCUACGCGAAAUGAAAGUGAACGGAGGUGAGAGCUUCGGCGCAUCAUCGACCGAUCCUGAUGUUCUCGGAUGGAUUUGAGUAAGAGCAUGUCGGGCUGGACCCGAAAGAAGGUGAACUAUGCUUGGAUAGGGCAAAGCCAGAGGAAACUCUGGUGGAGGCUCGCAGCGGUUCUGACGUGCAAAUCGAUCGUCAAAUCUAAGCAUGGGGGCGAAAGACUAAUCGAACCUUCUAGUAGCUGGUUUCCGCCGAAGUUUCCCUCAGGAUAGCAGUGCUGAUCUCAGUUUUAUGAGGUAAAGCGAAUGAUUAGGGACUCGGGGGCGCUAUUUAGCCUUCAUCCAUUCUCAAACUUUAAAUAUGUAAGAAGCCUUUGUUGCUUAAGUGAACGAAGGC